This 253-nucleotide unclassified non-coding RNA is filed under the name uncultured Bacillaceae bacterium. RNAcentral describes it as "contains 16S-23S intergenic spacer region". It matches the Rfam family "Bacterial small subunit ribosomal RNA", at positions 524 to 776 of the family's 1533-position model. Lineage: Bacteria; Bacillati; Bacillota; Bacilli; Caryophanales; Bacillaceae. The record is from RNAcentral.
UACGUAGGUGGCAAGCGUUGUCCGGAAUUAUUGGGCGUAAAGCGCGCGCAGGCGGUCUUUUAAGUCUGAUGUGAAAGCCCGUGGCUCAACCACGGAGGGCCAUUGGAAACUGGGGAACUGGAGAACUGAAGAGGAGAGUGGAAUUCCACGUGUAGCGGUGAAAUGCGUAGAUAUGUGGAGGAACACCAGUGGCGAAGGUGACUUUCUGGUCUGUAACUGACGCUGAGGCGCGAAAGCGUGGGGAGCAAACAGG